CUUGGCCCCCGUUCAGAGGACACGGCAUUCUUCCCACGGCCUGACAUGGGGUAGAAUGGCGUUGGAACCAUUAGGAAGAAAAAGGGAGGGGGCAUUUGGGCCCUGGGGAGCAGGCUGUGGCCAGGAUUCGGGAAGGGGCUACCAGAAGAGGGGCCUUUGGGCAGGGCUGAAGGGCAAGACUAUGCCCAGGCCCAGGAAUGGCUCUGCCCAUCUCUAUGCCACACCUCUCUGGGUUCCUAGGAGCUUGGGGAGAGCCACGGUGACCGUGACCCCAGUGCCCAGCCCUGUGCCCCAGGUAUCCGGAUCUACUCAGACCAUCUCUGGGGUUCAGCAGGCAACAUUCCUCUUCCAGGAAGCAAAAAUAAGCCAUGUCUAUGAAGCCCUUACCCAUGAGGGGCUGCUCUGGGUGUGAACCUAAAAUAAGGCUUCAUUUCUACUGAGUGCCAGAAGCAAUAGCCAUUGGUAAAGUCCUGUGUGAAGAAAGUGAGAACCACUGAGUUCGAGGCCAGCCUGGUCUACAGAGUGAGUUCCAGGACAGCCGGAGCUAUACAGAGAAACCCUGUCUCAGAAAAAACAAAAAAACAAAAAAACAAAAAAAAAAAAGAAAGAAAGAAAGAAAGAAAAAAGAAAAUGAGAACCAGAUAUGGUGGUGCAAGCCUUAAGGACCAGCGCCAAGGAGGUAGAGGAGGCAGGCUGCAUAUGAGGUGAGACCUUAUCUUAAAAUAAAAAAAAAAUUAAAAAAACAAGAAGAAGAACACGGAGACAUUGUCACCAACUUGGUGGCCCCAGUCGGAGUUCUAUUAAUAUGGAAGAAUAAAUACUCCUUCUUUGGCA
This is a long non-coding RNA of Mastomys coucha (southern multimammate mouse), 834 nucleotides long. RefSeq lists it as uncharacterized. NCBI's taxonomy places the organism in Eukaryota, Metazoa, Chordata, Mammalia, Rodentia, Muridae. The transcript is spliced from 3 exons. The record is from RefSeq and is a predicted model, not a curated record.